AUUUUGUAUAUUUUAGACAUGUUUUUGUAUAUUUCCAUUCCUAAUAUCGAUUUGUGUCCAUUAUCCUUUUCCGUAGAGACUGUCCAGUUUGGCCGAUGUACAUAGCAGAGGGCA
Molecule: non-coding RNA, 114 nt
Organism: Chelonoidis abingdonii (Abingdon island giant tortoise)
Lineage: Eukaryota; Metazoa; Chordata; Testudines; Testudinidae
Source: RefSeq, a predicted model, not a curated record